AUUAGUAGUGAGCUGAGAGGCGGUUAUUAGUUUUUUUGUAAUUUGGUGAGGUACCUUUUGCAUCAUGAUUUGCUGAUGUGGUGUUAAGAAUUUAAUAACUCGAAGGGUUACGAUUAUCAUUCAGGAUGUUUAGAACGUUAUAGUUAGGUGAGUAAUUUUCUAGAUAGUUGUUUGAGGUGUUGAGAAAUAAUUCGUGUAAUCUGAUAGCUAGUUGAGAAGGGGGAUGUUGUAUGUUGAGUUUUAUUGCGAAGAGGUGAUGAAAUUGAUAAGAAAUGUAGGAUGUGCUGUGAUAGGGGACUUAGGGUCAGGGUUACCCUUGGUUUGGUAGUAUGUUAUUAUAAGGAGGUUUGUAGUUGUGGGUAUUUUUAAUUUUAUACUUCUUUGGUAAAUUAGUUGUGAGAUUUAAUGGCAGAAUGAGUAGAAUGUUGAUAGUGUUUCUUUUUUUUCUCGGUGCUUAUCGGUCUGUUUUUCAAAAACAUUUCUAUUUGUGAUGGUUGAAUAGUAGGACCUGCCCUAUGUUUAUAUAAAUGGCCGCAGUAUUUUGACUGUGCAAAGGUAGCAUAAUUAAUUGUCUCGUAAUUGGGGAAUUGUUUGAAUGGUUGAACUAGAUAAGUGGGAAGAUGAGAAAGGUGUUUGAAAUUGGAUAUUUGGUGCAGAUUCCAAAGGUUAUUAGUGGGACGGAAAGACCCCGAGAGCUUUAUAUAUUGUAGUAUUUAUUUGGGGCAGAGGUAAAUUGUUUAUUUAUUUUAUGAUCCUAAGGGGGUAAUAGGUGUAAGUUACCUCGGGGAUAACUAGGUAAGAAAUAAGGAGAGAUCUAAUCGAUUUAUUUAUUUGCCAUCUCGAUGUUGAUUUAAAGUAAUGUAAGGGUGUAGAAGUUCUUGCAUAAGGUCUGUUCGACCAUAGUGCUUUUCAUGAAUUGAGUUAAGACCGGUGUAAACCAGGUCGGUUCUUAUCUGUUGUUCUUGCGAGUUAGUACGAAAGGAUUGCUUGUGAUUUAUGUU
RNAcentral lists this ribosomal RNA (1001 nucleotides) under Orthocoelium streptocoelium. Its description in RNAcentral is "16S ribosomal RNA". The stretch from base 677 to 954 matches the Rfam family "Bacterial large subunit ribosomal RNA", at positions 2079 to 2642 of the family's 2925-position model. The record is from RNAcentral. Lineage: Eukaryota; Metazoa; Platyhelminthes; Trematoda; Plagiorchiida; Paramphistomidae.